GCUGCUGUAGUGUAGUGGUUAUCGCAUUCGUCUAACACGCGAAAGGUCCCUGGUUCGAAACCAGGCAGAAACA
This is a non-coding RNA of Amblyraja radiata (thorny skate), 73 nucleotides long. The record is from the annotation of a RefSeq genome assembly. Lineage: Eukaryota; Metazoa; Chordata; Chondrichthyes; Rajiformes; Rajidae.